Molecule: ribosomal RNA, 521 nt
Filed under: Stagonosporopsis cucurbitacearum
Lineage: Eukaryota; Fungi; Ascomycota; Dothideomycetes; Pleosporales; Didymellaceae
Description: eukaryotic LSU rRNA
Rfam family: 5.8S ribosomal RNA (bases 148-301)
Source: RNAcentral
CGCAACGUGGACUGCGGGGCUUUGCCUGCCAUCUCUUACCCAUGUCUUUUGAGUACCUUCGUUUCCUCGGCGGGUUCGCCCGCCGAUUGGACAAAACUUAAACCCUUUGUAAUUGAAAUCAGCGUCUGAAAAAAACAUAAUAGUUACAACUUUCAACAACGGAUCUCUUGGUUCUGGCAUCGAUGAAGAACGCAGCGAAAUGCGAUAAGUAGUGUGAAUUGCAGAAUUCAGUGAAUCAUCGAAUCUUUGAACGCACAUUGCGCCCCUUGGUAUUCCAUGGGGCAUGCCUGUUCGAGCGUCAUUUGUACCUUCAAGCUUUGCUUGGUGUUGGGUGUUUGUCUCGCCUCUGCGCGCAGACUCGCCUCAAAACGAUUGGCAGCCGGCGUAUUGAUUUCGGAGCGCAGUACAUCUCGCGCUUUGCACUCACAACGACGACGUCCAAAAAGUACAUUUUUUACACUCUUGACCUCGGAUCAGGUAGGGAUACCCGCUGAACUUAAGCAUAUCAAUAAGCGGAGGAA